CAAAAGGCUCUUUUUAGAGCCAUCCACUUAAUCAAGGAAAGGAGCU
Regulatory RNA element from Felis catus (domestic cat), 46 nucleotides. It matches the Rfam family "Histone 3' UTR stem-loop". From Rfam's summary of the family: The mRNAs of metazoan histone genes lack a poly-A tail. 3' end processing occurs at a site between a highly conserved stem-loop (modelled by this family) and a purine rich region around 20 nts downstream (the histone downstream element, or HDE). The stem-loop is bound by a 31 kDa stem-loop binding protein (SLBP - also termed the histone hairpin binding protein, or HBP). The record is from Rfam. NCBI's taxonomy places the organism in Eukaryota, Metazoa, Chordata, Mammalia, Carnivora, Felidae.